RNAcentral lists this ribosomal RNA (312 nucleotides) under Triticum aestivum (bread wheat). RNAcentral describes it as "partial small subunit ribosomal RNA". Lineage: Eukaryota; Viridiplantae; Streptophyta; Magnoliopsida; Poales; Poaceae. The record is from RNAcentral.
AUGAAACGAAUGCCAGAUUUUCGCAUGGCCGCAUCAGAAAGAAGCAAUCCAAUCGCAACUACACUACACAGCGCGCACUUUUCUUCCCCCCGAACCCCCUCCCUUUCCAAUCGAGAAACUACUACAAGGAAUCGAUGCAGAGCAAGACCGGCAAAGAGGGGAGAAGUAUGCUCCAGCAUUCAACUGACCUGGAUCGAAGAGCUUGCAAGGCCUCGCAAUGAAUCAGCAGAGAGCCAGAGACCCAAACCUUUCUCUCUCUCUCUCUCUCUCUCCCUCACUCACUCUCUCUCUCUCUCUCGAUUUGAAAUUUGA